This 553-nucleotide ribosomal RNA is filed under the name Asarum sieboldii. RNAcentral's name for it is "eukaryotic LSU rRNA". The stretch from base 226 to 381 matches the Rfam family "5.8S ribosomal RNA". The record is from RNAcentral. Lineage: Eukaryota; Viridiplantae; Streptophyta; Magnoliopsida; Piperales; Asaraceae.
UUGUGAUGCCCAAUUAUCGGGGGCGGCGUUCAGCCAACCCCGUCCCUUUGCACCGCGGGAUGUUCCUGUCUCAAGCCUUGAGCAAUCAGGUUUGUUGACGGUACAUUCGGCGGCUGACUCGGGGAGGCCGAACAACAACUCGGCGCGGUCAGCGCCAAGGAUUUGGAAUUACGUGUAUGCCAUUCUCAUCCGUGGGUUUGUCAUUACAUCAAUCUAAAAAAUCACGACUCUCGGCAACGGAUAUCUUGGCUCUUGCAUCGAUGAAGAACGUAGCGAAAUGCGAUACUUGGUGUGAAUUGCAGAAUCCCGUGAACCAUCGAGUCUUUGAACGCAAGUUGCGCCCGAGACCUUUAGGUUGAGGGCACACCUGCUUGGGCGUCAUGCUAUGCGUCGCUCCCACAUCCGUCUCGGAUAUAGGACGCGGAUAUUGGCKAUCCGUUCAAAUCAUUGCGCGGUUUGCCUAAAAUUUGGACCUUUGGCGGGCUGCGAUACGUCUAGUGGUGGUUGUUGGCUCAUUGCUAGCCGCGAUUGACAGAAGGACGCGUCGAUGCCC